Lynx canadensis (Canada lynx) is the source of this 2057-nucleotide long non-coding RNA. RefSeq lists it as uncharacterized. The record is from RefSeq and is a predicted model, not a curated record. The transcript has 3 exons. NCBI's taxonomy places the organism in Eukaryota, Metazoa, Chordata, Mammalia, Carnivora, Felidae.
CUGAGCUGAAGUUGGAGGCUUACCGGACUGAACCACCCAGAUUGGUUUUCCCUCCAAACUGUGCUUUGAAUUCUGUUAUCUCCAAGGCUGGAGCUGGAGCGGGAGUUGGGAUUACAGAAAGUGUGGAGGAAGGCACAACUUUUCAGCUGGUGGAUACGGUGUCAGCUCUGUGGGCUCAAUAGAAUUCUCAAGGCCUUGCACCAAGAACAAAGGUGGGAAAGAGAAGUUUGUUCACAGUUCCUGACUGAACGGGGAGAAGACAUUUAAUGGAAAUAUGAACCUCAUGCCUGGGUCUCCUGGUACUUGUAGCUGAACCUAGGAGUUUGUGGCCAAGCCUACCAACCACAUCCCCCAACGAUUUCUUCUCUUUUGGCAUGUUGGUCAUGGAGUUGGGAGAGGAGAGCACCCAGUCCAUUCUUAUCUUUAAAGAGAGAAGAAACAGUGAAGUCUGUGACAUUCAGUUUUCUGUGCCCUCUCUCCUCUUGCUGGUCAUCUUGCCCAGCUCAGCAGACUGUGCAUACCCAGCUCACUAGCCAGAGAACUGGCUAGCUCAGGCAGCUGGUGAGUCAAGAGUGUGCUCAAGUGUGGUUGUCAAGAGUGGUACAGCCGAUCUCCCACAUCUUAGCCUUUUCUGAGUACCUGAGCCCUGCGGUAGCAUCAGACUGGGCGGCACAAACGGGCGUGCAGCCAGGAAUCAGUCGGUGGGAACACGACAUGCGCAGUUCUGCGGUGACCACACCCUGUAGCUUUCUGUCCUUUGUCCUUUCAACAAACAUAGAUGGAGCAUCUACUAUAUAUCGGGCAUUAGGGAUUCUUGGGGGAUACAGGUAUGAAUGUAACAUGAUCCUUGACCCAAGGAACUUCUAGUUUUCAUGGGAGACAAGCAUAUAAAUGAAACCUUCCAACAGACCCCUAGAUGUAAGCCAUAAUUCCUAGCCUGUGCUACUGACGGUGGUAGGAGUUGGGAUAGAGAUCCUACUAGAAGUCACAGAUUUGCAUUGCUCUGACUCCCACCCACAGAAGUCUAGGCGUUUCUCGGGUCUUCCAUAAGGUUAUGAAGACCUCUUGGCUGCCACAGUGCAACACAGGUCUUCUUCCUCUGUCUGCCCAUGCUCACUGUGGUCAGCUGUCCUGGAUCCGGUGACAUGUAGAUAUGAAUGCCCGCCCAAGGCACCCUGCACUGCAGAUACUGACUGAAGGCACUAUAUACAUGUCCCCUCCCACUUCUGUGACAGGAGACAUGCCAACCACUCUGACCAACUGCCCAAGCCCCCAUGCCGAUUCUCUACUCAAACCUGUUUCAACAGUAACUUCAAGUGGGCCUGAGUCCUCUUCACCCCGCCUUGAACUCCAUUCUGUUAACAACACUCCAGAGCUGUACUUCUGAACGUAUAAGUCAAACUACAGUGGCAUUUGGGCUGCCCUAGUGCCUGCAACACUCCUGAACAUUGGAAACAUGCAUCGACUUCCUCCAGGUGGACGCGGCCCCAUGCAAGUGUGCAUGGCUCGGUAAGUGAAGGACAGCUUGGGUUUCAACCCCAACUCACCCCCUUGGCUGGUUGUCCUUGGCAGGACACAACCUAGCCAAGGGAUGAUCCUGAUGGCAUGGCCCCUGGCUGUAUUAUUGCAAGAAACUGGCUGUCUUCACAGUUGUUUGCUGGACAUUCAUGGCCAUUUCCCGAGGUUUUGUCUGACUUGAACUCAAGGGUAGGUCUCUCGGGGGCUGUUUCCCGAGGUUUUGUCUGACCUGAACUCAAGGGUAGGUCUCUCGGGGUCUUCCAUCUUGACCUUCUGGUCACAUGGCAAUUGACCCUUCUGAGGGUGGCAUAUCUACCGGGUGCACCUGGCCUUUUCUGGAGACUGCUCCUGCUACCAGCUUGAGGGAGGGGAUGCCACUCUGUUCUGUACUCUGCCUACCAACUGCAUGUACCUGGAUUUUCAUUAAUUCCUCAUGGCAUCACUGAGACAACCUUAUAGCAUUUAACAAGUUUUCACUCAAGUUUCAAAGAUAAAGGAAGGAACAUACAUAUGUGGUUGAUGAAAUAUAUAUGUAUACA